AGAAAGUAGCUGUUGGAGGCCCUGGGAGACUGGGAAGCCCAAGGCUGGAUGAGAAGGUGACCCGAGGGCUGAGGGAUUCACAGGUGAAACCAAACAACCUCCUCCCGAAGAAGAGGCUGAACAAGAGGUGGAUAUCACACAUUUGUGGGAGGACAAACAUUUCCAGUUGGAGCAGAGUCAGGAGGCAGAUUUUCAGUAUGCUUUGCAGGAACACUUGGCUCUACGAAACGGCGAGGUAUUGUGACCUGAGCUGAUGAAGACAACACUGAGGUUCGAGGGCAGCAGUUCACGCUGAUCACCAAUCACGUACCACUACGCUGGUUACAGAGCAUGAAAAGGGACAAUGCUAGACUGAUAAGAUGGGCCCUUAGUCUGCAACCAUAUUGUUUUGAGGUAAAGCAUUGCCCUGGAACCCAGAAUCUUGGUUUUGUGAG
Molecule: long non-coding RNA, 434 nt
Organism: Gavialis gangeticus (Gharial)
Lineage: Eukaryota; Metazoa; Chordata; Crocodylia; Gavialidae
Exons: 4
Source: RefSeq, a predicted model, not a curated record